UCUCCUGGAAAACGGGUGGUAAUGCCGGAUGUUCCAGUUGAUCGCAUGGUCUUCUGGGAAAGCUUUCGCGGUAUGGGAUGGGGUCGCGUCCUAUCAGCUUGACGGCGGGGUAACGGCCCACCGUGGCUUCGACGGGUAGCCGGCCUGAGAGGGCGACCGGCCACAUUGGGACUGAGAUACGGCCCAGACUCCUACGGGAGGCAGCAGUGGGGAAUAUUGCACAAUGGGCGCAAGCCUGAUGCAGCGACGCCGCGUGAGGGAUGGAGGCCUUCGGGUUGUAAACCUCUUUUAUCGGGGAGCAAGCGUGAGUGAGUUUACCCGUUGAAUAAGCACCGGCUAACUACGUGCCAGCAGCCGCGGUAAUACGUAGGGUGCAAGCGUUAUCCGGAAUUAUUGGGCGUAAAGGGCUCGUAGGCGGUUCGUCGCGUCCGGUGUGAAAGUCCAUCGCUUAACGGUGGAUCCGCGCCGGGUACGGGCGGGCUUGAGUGCGGUAGGGGAGACUGGAAUUCCCGGUGUAACGGUGGAAUGUGUAGAUA
Molecule: ribosomal RNA, 536 nt
Filed under: Bifidobacterium longum subsp. infantis
Lineage: Bacteria; Bacillati; Actinomycetota; Actinomycetes; Bifidobacteriales; Bifidobacteriaceae
Description: bacterial SSU rRNA
Rfam family: Bacterial small subunit ribosomal RNA
Source: RNAcentral